This 868-nucleotide long non-coding RNA is filed under the name Numida meleagris (helmeted guineafowl). RNAcentral describes it as "lncRNA (ENSNMEG00000020672.1)". Lineage: Eukaryota; Metazoa; Chordata; Aves; Galliformes; Numididae. The record is from RNAcentral.
CAUUUAAUACCUAAAAAUAAUUGAUCAAGUGCUCCUCAUAUACACUUGCACUUAGCUAGUGUAUUUUCUAUGAUGAUCACAUAUAUCAGUCUCAGCCAGCCUUGCUGUUUCUAAAGUUGCCUUUGAUUAGCUUCACCCUAGCAAGGGGUAAGUUUUAUAGCCACAGCACCGGGCAUUUGUUUUAGGUUUUCCUCUCUAAUUUGUUGCACCUGAACAAAAAAAGUAAUUGCAGACCAUAAUACUGUUUGGGUUAGAGUGAGAACCACAAAGGAACCUUGCUUUUCUUUAAAGAAAAGUUAGCAAAAGAGCCAAGAAAUCCAUGCUUGUUUUUGUAGGAUAACAAUGUGCAGUAUAAAUAGUAUCUGUCAACUUUUUAGAGGUGCUGACAAUUGUCUGUGCUCCAAACCAGCUGGAUACAAGGUAGUUCUUGCUCAAAAGUCGUGUGGCAGAGUUACUGGAAAAAGGAGCUGAAGCUACUGUAUCCCACCUUUUGCUUCAGUGUCUCAGAAGAGAUCAUUUCAGUGAUGACGUGUUUGAGAAGAUGAGUACCAAGAGGAAGCUGUGGCUUCUGCUCGUAAGAGUUUCCAAACAUAUGGAAACUGUAAGUGACUGCAGAUUCUACAGGCGCAUACAACUCCCAUUGAAGCUGCCAGGAACUAACUGAUUAUAUCCAGGAAUAGAGUUUGACUCAGAAUGUUUGUUGUAACCUUGUUAUCAUAGUAAUCUUGGUCAACAUGUCUUGUUAGUGAGAAUUCUAUAUUUUCUUAUCCAUUAGCAAUUCUUUCUAAUGCAGAUACAUUUUCUAGUUUGUAACCUAAAAUGGUAUUUGUCCUCAAAAAUAAUAAAAAACUAGGACUGUAAGUAUUCA